Molecule: small RNA, 28 nt
Filed under: Bombyx mori (domestic silkworm)
Lineage: Eukaryota; Metazoa; Arthropoda; Insecta; Lepidoptera; Bombycidae
Description: piRNA piR-bmo-1314427
Source: RNAcentral
UUCAUGGGCAAGAUUUGCGACAUACGGU